RNAcentral lists this long non-coding RNA (939 nucleotides) under Vulpes vulpes (red fox). RNAcentral describes it as "lncRNA (ENSVVUG00000014778.1)". The record is from RNAcentral. Lineage: Eukaryota; Metazoa; Chordata; Mammalia; Carnivora; Canidae.
CAAGAGAAGGGGGACACACCACAUCACGUAGGGCCAUAUGGAGAGGCACCAGAGUUGCUCAGGAGGCAAAAGGAGUGAAGAAGAAGCAUGGAUGAAGGCCUUUAUUAAUAUAACAGUGGGCAGCUGGCAGAUGGGCAUAUCCCUUAUUGGGCAAGAAGUGAAGCAGAGUUGGGGUUUGUGGUUGGAUGAUUUGUAGCAUGAAUCCCAUGUGCUAGCAGAAACCCAGGGCCAGUACUGUUGUCGACAAUUUUGGCUGCUAAGUUGGCCCCUGACUUCACAAUGCCAAGUCAUCAAUUACAGGAUAUCUAGAGCAAUUAUGACAGAAGUGUGAGCCACUGCCUCACUGUGAUUGCUCUUCAUCUGGUCUUCAGUGACUCUGAUCCUUUUCACCAAAGUUUGGAUCUCUUGCUAUCUUCUAGACAUGACCCCACUGGACCGUGGGUUUUAUUUAGAUCUCCUGUUCUUUGGCCCAUUUUGGUUUCUCUCUCUCUCCUACUCUGACUCUGCUUCCGUUAUACCUAGAGAUUUUCUCCAUUUUUCCCCCUUUCUCAUACAUAGGAGAGCUGCUUCUUUCCACAGACAAGCAUAGAAACUUGGCAAAUAGAGGGAAGCUCAGUCUGCGUUGCCAUGUCAACCGAAAGCAGAGCUGACUUUUCAGCAUCACACACUAAUCGUUCCGGUUUAUGGACUGGCAGGGCCCUAGAAGACCAUUUUCACCCACUGGAAAGUCUCCUGAAUGCUCAUUGGUGUUGGAAUUUACCUGUCUGUAGGGGUAAAAGUAAUUCCUCCAGUGGAGAACCUUCACCAGUGAUGCAAGUUUCCAGAAGUGUCAACAGUGAGUACUGCAUUUACAAAAACACACUCAUAAUGUAUCUGUGAAGAAGAAGAAUUUUAGGAGGCAAAAAGUUGCAGAUUAAAAAUCUUCAAAAUUAUAAAUUC